Molecule: microRNA precursor, 97 nt
Organism: Caenorhabditis elegans
Lineage: Eukaryota; Metazoa; Nematoda; Chromadorea; Rhabditida; Rhabditidae
Source: Ensembl
UACUGUUUUGAAACAAGUGAGAUCAUGUGAAAUCCUCGGAGCUCGGAGCUUUGAAUUUUCCAAAUAUUCAUAUUUAAAUUAUUUGUUUCAAACAGUA